Non-coding RNA from Paramuricea clavata, 118 nucleotides. The record is from the annotation of a GenBank genome assembly. Lineage: Eukaryota; Metazoa; Cnidaria; Anthozoa; Malacalcyonacea; Plexauridae.
GAAUUUUUUUCUGUGUUGGUGUUGUGUACUCAGGUGAAUAAUAUGUGAUACUCAGGUGAAUAAUAUGAAAAACAUAUUAUUCACCUGAAUACACAACACCAACACAGAAAAAAAAUCA